Long non-coding RNA from Haliotis rubra (blacklip abalone), 195 nucleotides. RefSeq lists it as uncharacterized. Lineage: Eukaryota; Metazoa; Mollusca; Gastropoda; Lepetellida; Haliotidae. The record is from RefSeq and is a predicted model, not a curated record. The transcript has 2 exons.
UGAGUUAAUAUUUAACGUCACAUCGGCAAUAUCUCAGCCAUAGCGUGACAAGAACAUAUUUCUCAUUGAAAUGGAAUAUAUGUAUAUGAUAAAAAACCUGUCGACGAAGGACAGUAAAACAACCUGUAUAUCACAAUACAACUAAAACUAGUGUGGAAAGUUGAAACUAAUAGCACUAUGAGGACAAAACAGUAU